This 269-nucleotide ribosomal RNA is filed under the name uncultured bacterium. Its description in RNAcentral is "partial 16S ribosomal RNA". It matches the Rfam family "Bacterial small subunit ribosomal RNA", at positions 333 to 619 of the family's 1533-position model. The record is from RNAcentral.
UUUGCCCUACGGGAGGCAGCAGUGGGGAAUAUUGCACAAUGGGGGAAACCCUGAUGCAGCAACGCCGCGUGAGUGAAGAAGUAUUUCGGUAUGUAAAGCUCUAUCAGCAGGGAAGAAGAUGACGGUACCUGAAUAAGAAGCCCCGGCUAACUACGUGCCAGCAGCCGCGGUAAUACGUAGGGGGCAACCGUUAUCCGGAUUUACUGGGUGUAAAGGGGGCGCAGACGGCAGUGCAAGUCUGGAGUGAAAGCCCGGGGCCCAACCCCGGA